UGGGGAACCUGCCCCAUAGUCUGGGAUACCACUUGGAAACAGGUGCUAAUACCGGAUAAGAAAGCAGAUCGCAUGAUCAGCUUUUAAAAGGCGGCGUAAGCUGUCGCUAUGGGAUGGCCCCGCGGUGCAUUAGAUAGUUGGUAAGGUAAAGGCUUACCAAGGCGAUGAUGCAUAGCCGAGUUGAGAGACUGAUCGGCCACAUUGGGACUGAGACACGGCCCAAACUCCUACGGGAGGCAGCAGUU
This 245-nucleotide ribosomal RNA is filed under the name uncultured Lactobacillus sp. RNAcentral's name for it is "partial 16S ribosomal RNA". It matches the Rfam family "Bacterial small subunit ribosomal RNA", at positions 118 to 355 of the family's 1533-position model. Lineage: Bacteria; Bacillati; Bacillota; Bacilli; Lactobacillales; Lactobacillaceae. The record is from RNAcentral.